GAUGAACGCUGGCGGCGUGCCUAAUACAUGCAAGUCGAGCGAACAGACGAGGAGCUUGCUCCUUCGACGUUAGCGGCGGACGGGUGAGUAACACGUAGGUGACCUACCUAUAAGACUGGGAUAACUUCGGGAAACCGGAGCUAAUACCGGAUAAUAUUUCGAACCGCAUGGUUCGAUAGUGAAAGAUGGCUUUGCUAUCACUUAUAGAUGGACCUGCGCCGUAUUAGCUAGUUGGUAAGGUAACGGCUUACCAAGGCAACGAUACGUAGCCGACCUGAGAGGGUGAUCGGCCACACUGGAACUGAGACACGGUCCAGACUCCUACGGGAGGCAGCAGUAGGGAAUCUUCCGCAAUGGGCGAAAGCCUGACGGAGCAACGCCGCGUGAGUGACGAAGGUCUUCGGAUCGUAAAACUCUGUUAUUAGGGAAGAACAAACGUGUAAGUAACUGUGCACGUCUUGACGGUACCUAAUCAGAAAGCCACGGCUAACUACGUG
This 497-nucleotide ribosomal RNA is filed under the name uncultured bacterium. Its description in RNAcentral is "partial 16S ribosomal RNA". It matches the Rfam family "Bacterial small subunit ribosomal RNA", at positions 28 to 507 of the family's 1533-position model. The record is from RNAcentral.